RNAcentral lists this ribosomal RNA (346 nucleotides) under bacterium enrichment culture clone ALO1_GLFRUDD03F65R1. Its description in RNAcentral is "bacterial SSU rRNA". It matches the Rfam family "Bacterial small subunit ribosomal RNA", at positions 9 to 350 of the family's 1533-position model. The record is from RNAcentral.
GAGUUUGAUCAUGGCUCAGAUUGAACGCUGGCGGCAUGCCUUACACAUGCAAGUCGAACGGGCAGCACCGGGAGCUUGCUCCUGGGUGGCGAGUGGCGAACGGGUGAGUAAUGCAUCGGAACGUAUCCUGGAGUGGGGGAUAACGUAGCGGAAAGUUACGCUAAUACCGCAUAUUCUGUGAGCAGGAAAGCGGGGGACCUUCGGGCCUCGCGCUCUUGGAGCGGCCGAUGUCGGAUUAGCUAGUUGGUGAGGUAAAGGCGUCACCAAGGCGACGAUCCGUAGCAGGUCUGAGAGGAUGAUCUGCCACACUGGAACUGAGACACGGUCCAGACUCCUACGGGAGGCA